UUGACAUACCUGUCGCGGAUCCAGAGAUGGAUCUUUCAGUUAGGCUGGACAGGAUACAGGUGCUGCAUGGCUGUCGUCAGCUCGUGUCGUGAGAUGUUCGGUUAAGUCCGGCAACGAGCGCAACCCUCGCCUUUAGUUGCCAGCAUUCAGUUGGGCACUCUAGAGGAACCGCCGGUGAUAAGCCGGAGGAAGGUGGGGAUGACGUCAAGUCCUCAUGGCCCUUACAGGAUGGGCUACACACGUGCUACAAUGGUAGUGACAAUGGGUUAAUCCCAAAAAACUAUCUCAGUUCGGAUUGGGGUCUGCAACUCGACCCCAUGAAGUUGGAAUCGCUAGUAAUCGCGUAACAGCAUGACGCGGUGAAUACGUUCCCGGGCCUCGUACACACCGCCCGUCACACCAUGGGAAUUGGUUCUACCCGAAGGUGGUGCGCCAACCGGCUUGUCCGGAGGCAGCCAACCACGGUAGGAUCAGUGACUGGGGUG
This 485-nucleotide ribosomal RNA is filed under the name uncultured bacterium. Its description in RNAcentral is "bacterial SSU rRNA". It matches the Rfam family "Bacterial small subunit ribosomal RNA", at positions 981 to 1482 of the family's 1533-position model. The record is from RNAcentral.